CCCUUAGAUGAUUUGGGCUGCACGCGCGCUACACUGACCCUAACAAUGAGCAACUGUCCGGCCUGAGAUGGCUGGGUAGCCUUUUCAACCCAUGUCAUGAUUGGGCUAGAUUUUUGUAAGUCUUGAUCUCUAACGAGGAAUCCCUAGUAUGCGUGAAUCAUCAAUCCAUGCAGAUUAUGUCCCUGCCCUUUGUACACACCGCCCGCCGCUCCUACUGAUUGGGUGAUCCGGUGAGCUGUUCGGCCAUAGCAAUGUUUCUUGAGCAGGGCAAUGAAUGUUUCGCAAACCUUGCCACUUAGAGGAAGGAGAAGUCGUAACA
This 319-nucleotide ribosomal RNA is filed under the name uncultured eukaryote. RNAcentral's name for it is "partial 18S ribosomal RNA". It matches the Rfam family "Eukaryotic small subunit ribosomal RNA", at positions 1470 to 1796 of the family's 1831-position model. The record is from RNAcentral.